UUCCAAUCAGAAAGCGUGUUAAAAAUAACAAGUUGUCAGCCUUUUGUACACAAUGAAGUAUGUUUUUGUGUUAAAGACGAUAAAGGGGGUGGAUCGUACCUCCCUUUUCAUUCCACCACUUCGUGACUAAUACGUUUCCCUUUUCACGCAGCAAAGAACAAACUUCAACAAAAUACUUCUUUUUUUUUUUACCAAUGGGAAUAUUUAACUUGCUUUAUUUCUAAAAUACAAUUUAACAUACUUUAAACAUUAGGGUUUUUUUUUUUUUUAAAACAACGUUUUAAUUCAAGGACAACAACAACAACAACAACAACAACACAAAAAUACAUGUUUUACAUGGGCUCCAAAAGUCUUGAUAUUUACAGGUAGAAGAGACAGGAAGAGCGGUCUGUCUCUACAGGUAGAAGAGACAGGAGGAGUGGUCUGUCUCUACAGGUAGAAGAGGCAGGAAGAGUGGUCUGUCUCUACAGGUAGAAGAGGCAGGAAGAGCGGUCUGUCUCUACAGGUAGAAGAGGCAGGAAGAGUGGUCUGUCUCUACAGGUAGAAGAGACAGGAAGAGCGGUCUGUCUCUACAGGUAGAAGAGGCAGGAAGAGCGGUCUGUCUCUACAGGUUGAAGAGACAGGAGGAGUGGUCUGUCUCUACAGGUAGAAGAGGCAGGAAGAGCGGUCUGUCUCUACAGGUAGAAGAGGCAGGAAGAGCGGUCUGUCUCUACAGGUAGAAGAGGCAGGAAGAGUGGUC
Long non-coding RNA from Oncorhynchus tshawytscha (Chinook salmon), 739 nucleotides. The record is from Ensembl. Lineage: Eukaryota; Metazoa; Chordata; Actinopteri; Salmoniformes; Salmonidae.